ACGGAGGGAGCUAGCGUUGUUCGGAAAUACUGGGCGUAAAGCGCACGUAGGCGGCGCAGCAAGUCAGGGGUGAAAUCCCGGGGCUCAACCUCGGAACUGCCCUUGAAACUGCAGUGCUAGAAUCUUGGAGAGGAUGGUAGAAUUCCAGGUGUAGCGGUGAAAUGCGUAGAGAUCUGGAGGAAUACCGAUGGCGAAGGCAGCCAUCUGGCCUAACACUGACGCUGAGGUGCGAAAGCAUGGGGAGCAAACAGGA
RNAcentral lists this ribosomal RNA (253 nucleotides) under uncultured prokaryote. RNAcentral describes it as "partial 16S ribosomal RNA". It matches the Rfam family "Bacterial small subunit ribosomal RNA", at positions 525 to 777 of the family's 1533-position model. The record is from RNAcentral.